Oryza nivara is the source of this 204-nucleotide non-coding RNA. The record is from Rfam. Lineage: Eukaryota; Viridiplantae; Streptophyta; Magnoliopsida; Poales; Poaceae.
UUUAAGUGCAACAAUAAGUUUCCGCAUCUAACUUUAAUCGUCUGUCUUAUUUGAUUUUUUUUUAUAAUUAGUAUUUUUGUUGUUAUGAAAUGAUAAAACAUGAAUAAUACUUUACUCGUGACUUUGUUUUUAAAUUUUUUAAAUUUUUUUUUAAAUAACACGGACAGUUAAAGUUGGGCGCGGAGAACCAUGGCUACAUUUAAA